RNAcentral lists this small nuclear RNA (21 nucleotides) under Arabidopsis thaliana (thale cress). Its description in RNAcentral is "snRNA_11101". Lineage: Eukaryota; Viridiplantae; Streptophyta; Magnoliopsida; Brassicales; Brassicaceae. The record is from RNAcentral.
ACCUAAAACAAUUUCUAAAUA